GAUGAACGCUGGCGGCGUGCCUAAUACAUGCAAGUCGAGCGAACUGACGAGGAGCUUGCUCCUUUGACGUUAGCGGCGGACGGGUGAGUAACACGUGGGUAACCUACCUAUAAGACUGGAAUAACUCCGGGAAACCGGGGCUAAUGCCGGAUAACAUAUCGAACCGCAUGGUUCGAUAGUGAAAGACGGUCUUGCUGUCACUUAUAGAUGGACCCGCGCCGUAUUAGCUAGUUGGUGAGGUAACGGCUCACCAAGGCGACGAUACGUAGCCGACCUGAGAGGGUGAUCGGCCACACUGGAACUGAGACACGGUCCAG
Molecule: ribosomal RNA, 317 nt
Filed under: uncultured bacterium
Lineage: Bacteria
Description: bacterial SSU rRNA
Rfam family: Bacterial small subunit ribosomal RNA
Source: RNAcentral